RNAcentral lists this non-coding RNA (28 nucleotides) under Mus musculus (house mouse). The record is from RNAcentral. Lineage: Eukaryota; Metazoa; Chordata; Mammalia; Rodentia; Muridae.
UGACUAGUAGUACGUUUAGGUCACUCCC